UACGUAGGGUGCGAGCGUUAAUCGGAAUUACUGGGCGUAAAGCGCGCGUAGGCGGAUCUGCAAGUCGGGGGUGAAAUCCCGAGGCUCAACCUCGGAACUGCCUUCGAUACUGCGGGUCUCGAGUCCGGGAGAGGUGAGUGGAAUUCCUAGUGUAGAGGUGAAAUUCGUAGAUAUUAGGAAGAACACCAGUGGCGAAGGCGGCUCACUGGCCCGGUACUGACGCUGAGGCGCGAAAGCGUGGGGAGCAAACAGG
This 253-nucleotide ribosomal RNA is filed under the name uncultured bacterium. RNAcentral's name for it is "partial 16S ribosomal RNA". It matches the Rfam family "Bacterial small subunit ribosomal RNA", at positions 524 to 776 of the family's 1533-position model. The record is from RNAcentral.